Molecule: ribosomal RNA, 430 nt
Filed under: Lactiplantibacillus plantarum
Lineage: Bacteria; Bacillati; Bacillota; Bacilli; Lactobacillales; Lactobacillaceae
Description: bacterial SSU rRNA
Rfam family: Bacterial small subunit ribosomal RNA
Source: RNAcentral
GAGUGGCGAACUGGUGAGUAACACGUGGGAAACCUGCCCAGAAGCGGGGGAUAACACCUGGAAACAGAUGCUAAUACCGCAUAACAACUUGGACCGCAUGGUCCGAGCUUGAAAGAUGGCUUCGGCUAUCACUUUUGGAUGGUCCCGCGGCGUAUUAGCUAGAUGGUGGGGUAACGGCUCACCAUGGCAAUGAUACGUAGCCGACCUGAGAGGGUAAUCGGCCACAUUGGGACUGAGACACGGCCCAAACUCCUACGGGAGGCAGCAGUAGGGAAUCUUCCACAAUGGACGAAAGUCUGAUGGAGCAACGCCGCGUGAGUGAAGAAGGGUUUCGGCUCGUAAAACUCUGUUGUUAAAGAAGAACAUAUCUGAGAGUAACUGUUCAGGUAUUGACGGUAUUUAACCAGAAAGCCACGGCUAACUACGUGCC